CGACUCAUUAGAUUAUGAUCAAUUUCAUAAUUAUCAA
This 37-nucleotide transfer RNA is filed under the name Myotis albescens. Its description in RNAcentral is "partial tRNA-Arg". The record is from RNAcentral. Lineage: Eukaryota; Metazoa; Chordata; Mammalia; Chiroptera; Vespertilionidae.